ACCUUCGAUAGCUCAGUUGGUAGAGCGGAGGACUGUAGAUCCUUAGGUCGCUGGUUCAAAUCCGGCUCAAGGAG
Molecule: non-coding RNA, 74 nt
Organism: Coregonus clupeaformis (lake whitefish)
Lineage: Eukaryota; Metazoa; Chordata; Actinopteri; Salmoniformes; Salmonidae
Source: the annotation of a RefSeq genome assembly